This 497-nucleotide ribosomal RNA is filed under the name uncultured bacterium. Its description in RNAcentral is "partial 16S ribosomal RNA". It matches the Rfam family "Bacterial small subunit ribosomal RNA", at positions 28 to 507 of the family's 1533-position model. The record is from RNAcentral.
GAUGAACGCUGGCGGCGUGCCUAAUACAUGCAAGUAGAACGCUGAAGGAAGGAGCUUGCUCUUUCCGGAUGAGUUGCGAACGGGUGAGUAACGCGUAGGUAACCUGCCUGGUAGCGGGGGAUAACUAUUGGAAACGAUAGCUAAUACCGCAUAACAGUAGAUGUUGCAUGAUAUCUACUUAAAAGGUGCAAUUGCACCACUACCAGAUGGACCUGCGUUUUAUUAGCUAGUUGGUGAGGUAACGGCUCACCAAGGCGACGAUACAUAGCCGACCUGAGAGGGUGAUCGGCCACACUGGGACUGAGACACGGCCCAGACUCCUACGGGAGGCAGCAGUAGGGAAACUUCGGCAAUGGACGGAAGUCUGACCGAGGAACGCCGCGGGAGUGAAGAAGGUUUUCGGAUCGGAAAGCUCUGUUGUAAGAGAAGAAAGAGUGUGAGAGUGGAAAGUUCACACUGUGACGGUAUCUUAACAGAAAGGGACGGCUAACUACGUG